AUCGCCUCUUGCAUCAACCAAUAUAAGAGGUCCCGCCUGCCCUGUGACUCUAGGAGUUUAACGGCUGCGGUAUUUUGACCGUGCAAAGGUAGCGCAAUCACUUGUCUUUUAAAUAAAGACCUGUAUGAAUGGCAUGACGAGGGCUUAACUGUCUCCCCUCCCCAGUCAAUGAAAUUGAUCUCCCCGUGAAGAAGCGGGGAUUCCACUAUAAGACGAGAAGACCCUGUGGAGCUUUAAACACUAGAAAAGCCCAUGUCAAGCAUUCAACUAACUGAUAAUGAAACAAAAUGGACCCUUACUAAUGUUUUUGGUUGGGGCGACCGCGGGGAAAUAAAAAACCCCCACGUGGAACGAGAAUACUAUUCUUACAACUAAGAGCAACCGCUCUAAUUAACGGAAUAUCCGACCAACAAUGAUCCGGCUAAGCCGAUCAACGGACCGAGUUACCCCAGGGAUAACAGCGCAAUCCCCUUUUAGAGACCUUAUCGCCAAGGGGGUUUACGACCUCGAUGUUGGAUCAGGACAUCCUAAUGGUGUAGCCGCUAUUAAGGGUUCGUUUGUUCAACGAUUAAAGUC
RNAcentral lists this ribosomal RNA (576 nucleotides) under Ogcocephalus declivirostris (slantbrow batfish). RNAcentral's name for it is "partial 16S large subunit ribosomal RNA". It matches the Rfam family "Bacterial large subunit ribosomal RNA", at positions 1815 to 2595 of the family's 2925-position model. The record is from RNAcentral. Lineage: Eukaryota; Metazoa; Chordata; Actinopteri; Lophiiformes; Ogcocephalidae.